UCGAGUAGUUCAAUCGCGAACAUGUAGCAUCGAUUCAGUUUCCGUGCCUUCGUAUCGCUAAACGUGGACUAAACAACCGUUUCAAUUUCUCAGUGCUCUUCAAGCGCUCGUGCAGGUGAAAUCGUUUCGUCAGUCGUAAUGAUCAGUUGAUACUUUUCUGAACAGGUUUCCUCGGUGCGUCAAUAUCUUCAAGAAUUCGUGGACAUGGCUGCAAGCGUUAGUGGAGAGGACAGAGUCGUUCUAUCAGGCGUAACGAUCAGUGGACAGUCCUGUGCGAAAUCUUCAGUUGCGAACAGUAUCUCCAAGCAUCGAUGAAGGUGAGAAUACGUGCCUGGUGACAUUGCAUCGUUGACACGGGAUACAUUGUCGUGCCCAAGUCCGGCAAUCUUUAUUUACGGACGGUCAAAUGAAACGCGACGUCACCAAUUUUUGCGUGGCACGUAUCUCUGGAUGGGAAAGUCCGUGGAGCGAAUUAAACACGUCGCGCCGCAAGGAUUUCGGUACGUACCAUCGUACAAUGUCGCCUGAUAUGUCGCAAUAAAUUUCUACCUAUAA
Molecule: long non-coding RNA, 555 nt
Organism: Bombus terrestris (buff-tailed bumblebee)
Lineage: Eukaryota; Metazoa; Arthropoda; Insecta; Hymenoptera; Apidae
Exons: 2
Source: RefSeq, a predicted model, not a curated record